CGGGAAUUUUGGGCAAUGGGCGAAAGCCUGACCCAGCAACGCCGCGUGAGGGAUGAAGUAUUUCGGUAUGUAAACCUCGAAAGAAUGGGAAGAAUAAAUGACGGUACCAUUUAUAAGCUCCGGCUAACUACGUGCCAGCAGCCGCGGUAAUACGUAGGGAGCAAGCGUUGUUCGGACUUACUGGGCGUAAAGGGCGCGUAGGCGGCGCGGUAAGUCACUUGUGAAAUCUCUGAGCUUAACUCAGAACGGCCAAGUGAUACUGCUGUGCUAGAGUGCGGAAGAGGCAACCGGAAUUCUUGGUGUAGCGGUGAAAUGCGUAGAUAUCAAGAGGAACACCUGAGGCGAAGGCGGGUUGCUGGGCCGACACUGACGCUGAUGCGCGAAAGCCAGGGGAGCAAACG
Molecule: ribosomal RNA, 401 nt
Filed under: uncultured bacterium
Lineage: Bacteria
Description: bacterial SSU rRNA
Rfam family: Bacterial small subunit ribosomal RNA
Source: RNAcentral